This 65-nucleotide transfer RNA is filed under the name Lucerapex sp. MNHN IM 2013-19988. RNAcentral's name for it is "tRNA-Cys". Lineage: Eukaryota; Metazoa; Mollusca; Gastropoda; Neogastropoda; Turridae. The record is from RNAcentral.
CUCACCAUAGUUUAUCUUAAAACCUCGACCUGCAAAAUCGAAAAUGGAAAUAGUUCCUGGUGUGU